RNAcentral lists this transfer RNA (73 nucleotides) under Desulfocucumis palustris. It matches the Rfam family "tRNA". Rfam says of the family: Transfer RNA (tRNA) molecules are approximately 80 nucleotides in length. The record is from Rfam by way of RNAcentral. Lineage: Bacteria; Bacillati; Bacillota; Clostridia; Eubacteriales; Desulfocucumaceae.
GCCGCUAUAGCUCAGUAGGUAGAGCGCAUCCUUGGUAAGGAUGAGGUCACCGGUUCAAAUCCGGUUAGCGGCU